RNAcentral lists this unclassified non-coding RNA (308 nucleotides) under uncultured Nectriaceae. Its description in RNAcentral is "sequence contains ITS1". The stretch from base 1 to 105 matches the Rfam family "5.8S ribosomal RNA", at positions 50 to 154 of the family's 154-position model. Lineage: Eukaryota; Fungi; Ascomycota; Sordariomycetes; Hypocreales; Nectriaceae. The record is from RNAcentral.
GAAAUGCGAUAAGUAAUGUGAAUUGCAGAAUUCAGUGAAUCAUCGAAUCUUUGAACGCACAUUGCGCCCGCUAGUAUUCUGGCGGGCAUGCCUGUCCGAGCGUCAUUUCAACCCUCAAGCCCCCGGGCUUGGUGUUGGGGAUCGGCGAGCCUCCGCGCCCGCCGUCCCCUAAAUCUAGUGGCGGUCUCGCUGUAGCUUCCUCUGCGUAGUAGCACACCUCGCACUGGGAAACAGCGCGGCCACGCCGUUAAACCCCCAACUUCUGAACGUUUGACCUCGGAUCAGGUAGGAAUACCCGCUGAACUUAA